This 672-nucleotide ribosomal RNA is filed under the name Sebacina incrustans. RNAcentral describes it as "eukaryotic LSU rRNA". It matches the Rfam family "Eukaryotic large subunit ribosomal RNA", at positions 14 to 662 of the family's 3401-position model. Lineage: Eukaryota; Fungi; Basidiomycota; Agaricomycetes; Sebacinales; Sebacinaceae. The record is from RNAcentral.
CGAGUAAGACUACCCGCUGAACUUAAGCAUAUCAAUAAGCGGAGGAAAAGAAACUAACAAGGAUUCCCCUAGUAACGGCGAGUGAAGAGGGAAGAGCUCAAAUUUUGAAUCUGGCGUCUUUGGCGUCCGAGUUGUAAUCUAGAGAAGUGUUUUCCGUGACGGACCGUGCAUAAGUCUCCUGGAAUGGAGUGUCAUAGAGGGUGAGAAUCCCGUACAUGGCAUGGACUCCCGUUACUCUGCGAUACACUCUCGACGAGUCGAGUUGUUUGGGAAUGCAGCUCCAAAUGGGUGGUAAAUGCCAUCUAAAGCUAAAUAUGGGCGAGAGACCGAUAGCGAACAAGUACCGUGAGGGAAAGAUGAAAAGCACUUUGGAAAGAGAGUGAAACAGUACGUGAAAUUGUUGAAAGGGAAACGCUUGAAGUCAGUCACACUCUUUGGGAUUCAGCCUUGCUUGCUUCUGCUGCUCGGUUUACUUCCCAUCGGGUGGGUCAACAUCAGUUUUAGUCGGAGGAGAAAGACUUGGGGAAGGUAGCAGCAUUCGUGCUGUGUUAUAGACCCUUGUUGUAUACUUCGAUUGGGACUGAGGCCCGCAGCACGCCUUUGGCCGGGGUUUACCCACGUACGUGCUUAGGAUGUUGGCAUAAUGGCUUUAAGCGACCCGUCUUGAAACAC